Molecule: long non-coding RNA, 2801 nt
Filed under: Triticum aestivum (bread wheat)
Lineage: Eukaryota; Viridiplantae; Streptophyta; Magnoliopsida; Poales; Poaceae
Description: long non-coding RNA (TAES_LNC018513)
Source: RNAcentral
AUAGAUUGAUACACCAGGUCAGACAUUAAUAGAGAUCAAACUAAUAGCCAAAGAUCGAUAUACCAGGUCAGAACAAUAACAAGACAUUAUAACCAGCACCAAAUGAUGAGAUCGCAGGUGCUACCAAGUGCUACUGCAACCAUCCAAAAUGACACGUUCUACUAGUAGCACCGAAGUAAGAAGAGCUAAGAACAAAAGACAUGCUCUGAAUCCAGCAAUCAUGCUGCUCACCGGAGAGCCAAUCUGUGUAGCCUGCCAUCCGAGGCCGCCGCCCCGGCAUCUAAGACCUCCGGCAAGGUUGCACCUUGGCACAUACAUCAGUGACAUAGAGCUGGACCGCCAUCGGUGCACGUGACGAGGGAGGCCCGGCAUCAAGGGCCUGACCCCGACUAGAUCUAGCCCACAGACUGAAUAUGCGGCCAAGGAUGGAGCUCGCCGGCGACACCCUGCAGCAUGCGUACGGGCCACAUGCCAGUACACUGCCCUGAAGCCGCGCUGCCGCGUGUCACACAGUCAAGACAGCUGACCUCCACGGGCCAGAUCUGGCCUAGGGCACACCAUCAAGGUCCAUCACCCCUUGUCCCCGGAGCCCCCCAUCGGAAUUCCGCCAUCCCGGGCAGCCGCCCGUCGGUUACCAGGGCAACGAACUAACCCUAAAAAACAUCAGGGCAUUGCUACCCGUGGAGGCAGACCAACGAGGAGGAUGGCUCGCGCCGCUCAAAGCCAUGGAUGGUUCAUGGUACAGGCGCUGGGGAGCCCGGAGAACAGCCCCGUGCCGCCGCCGUCGGCCACGCGCACUUCUCAAGCCAUGGAGGGUGCAUGGUUUUUUUUUUUGAAAACGGGCAAAAGAUUUGCCACGUAUAUUAAUUAAGAGAGAAUAGAGUUUGUGUUACAAACACCCCUUAACAAUACACGGAAGAAUCACUCUCCCGGCAUGAUGGACCCUAGCUUCUUAGCUCCGGCGGCGACCCAAAAUGAUGCCUCCCUUUUGAUGUUGUCGAGAAGAACCAUAGGCGGGGCUGCCAUGUUGCGGAAUACACGAGCGUUUCGCUCGUUCCAGAUCGUCCAUGUAGUGAGCAUGGUGAGCGAGGCCAUGGCCUUCCGGUUGGGGACGGAAGCAUCAGUCAACCCAAGCCACCAUUCUAAGGUGGAAUGCCUCACGGGCCAAGUAGAGGUGUCAAUGUGAAUGAGUUGCAGCCACGCCUUGACCGAGCCCCAUAGGCGAAUGGUGAAACGACAUUUGAAGAAGAGAUGGUCAACCGAUUCAUUCUCACGCAUGCAUAAGGGGCAUGAGCCACAGUUAGGCCAACCGUGCUUGGCCAAACGAUACGCAGUCCAGACUCUAUUUUGGAUGGCCAGCCAAGCAAAGAACUUGACCUUGGGUGGAGCCCAGAUUUUCCACACUGCAUGCUCCAAGGGUGCAUGGUUUUCUUCCAAACAGAAACCGAACUUUCCAAGUUCCUACCGCUUGUCUCAGUUGGCGGUGCCUCCAUGUCUUUGUCGUCUCAUCUCUCCGGCAACUGUACAGGUACCACGUAGAGAACCACACAGUAAAAAAAUUAUCUGAGAUUAACUAAUUUCUAGGCUGGUUAAAAAUUAGCAACCCUGAAGUAAAAUUAUUUUGUGGAUGUUUCGUAUAACUGCAUGUGAUUAGGCGGAUUCUGGGAUUGGGCAGACAUUCAAAACACCUACUAGCAAGUAUAACACCGACUAGAUAAAAGCAUCCAAGACGAGCGUGCAACAGAAAGGAUGAACUUUCUUGAAACAGGUUUUCGCCCCGCUUUAUAUACAAAGCAACAACAGAAAUAAUUAACUUGAUGGUGUUCUAUGCAAGGCAAGUGAUCAAAUUCAAUUGCUCUGCAUUUUACAGAUAGACACGUGAUCCAUAGUCCUGCUACUGUUCGUAUAGUUGACAUCAUGUUUGUAAAACGAGAGAAAUUUCUAGCAUUAAAAUUCGAGCUUGCUAGGUGUUCAAUCCGAUAAUUUGCAGACUCCCAGAUGUAAUAAUCGUGAAACCAAAACCUGUUUCAUAUCAUCACAUAAAAGGAAAUGUGGCCACUCUUAAAUCAACCAACACUGACAACAUGUAAUUAAGUUGCAAAUGUGUCAUCUAGAACUAGCAUAUUUAUCUUCCUCCAGGAGGGCACACCUGCAACAAGUUCCUGUCUACCCAAAAAAUAUAAAAUCCUGGAGAAAAAACAGCAGGAAACAAAGGCUAGUUGUUCAGUUCAGUCCGGCGCUCGGCGAAGCUCGGCGAAACUAACGUUGUGUAAUUUAGUUACAAAACUUUUAUCUGGAGAAAGAUGAACAAAGUAUCAGCAUACUUGGUGCUCGUUUCUACUAAAAAACGUAAAACAAGUUCAAAGGAACUGGCGCAAACAGGAGCAGGAAACUGAAGUAUCAAUCAGGCAAAAAACUGUUAACUGAAUGCCAUAAUACAGCGUUGACACAAAGAUCAAACUAACAGCCAACAAACACAUAGCUGUAUAUAGUAAUAAUAAGUUUUGAUACCAUAGAUUGAUACACCAGGUCAGACAUUAACAGAGAUCAAACUAAUAGCCAAAGAUCCAUAUAUCAGGUCAGAACAUUACCAAGACAUCAUAACCAGCAUCAAAUGAUGAGAUCGCAGGUGCUACUGCAACCAUCCAAAAUGACACGUGCCACUAGUAGUACCGACAAGUAAGAAGAGCUAAGAACAAAAGACAUGCUCUGAAUCCAAGGACAAAGCAAACCAGGAGUCUUGAACAUUCAUACAUGCCCUGUGGAGAACGGAGGUUCCUCAUCUUAUUUUUGCAUCUCAU